GUGUGGCUGGAGGAAGUGCACAAAUACUAAAAUUGGAAUACAGAGAAGAUUAGCAUAUCCCCUGUGCAAGUAUGACAUGCAAAUUCAUGAAGUAUUCCAUAUUUUU
Marmota flaviventris (yellow-bellied marmot) is the source of this 106-nucleotide small nuclear RNA. The record is from RefSeq and is a predicted model, not a curated record. Lineage: Eukaryota; Metazoa; Chordata; Mammalia; Rodentia; Sciuridae.